This is a long non-coding RNA of Hevea brasiliensis (rubber tree), 1170 nucleotides long. RefSeq lists it as uncharacterized. NCBI's taxonomy places the organism in Eukaryota, Viridiplantae, Streptophyta, Magnoliopsida, Malpighiales, Euphorbiaceae. The record is from RefSeq and is a predicted model, not a curated record. The transcript has 3 exons.
ACUCGACCGACAGUAUUCUCUUUCUUUCUCCUCGUUGCACCGGAGAGAGGGAGAGAAGGGGAGACAGAAAUGGAGUUUAGUCUUAGAGGCAACGCGCUCAAGACCUUCGCUCGAUCCAUCACCUGCCUCGCGGGUUUUGGAAACGAGCUUGCUAUACGAGCCUUGCCUUCUCGGCUGAUAGUUCACACCAGUAAUUCAUCGCUAUAUGCCUAUUAAUCUGUUGCAUUCAAGUCCAGCUUCAUUGAUACGUAGACAAUUUCUGAUACUGAAGUCCAAUGCAGCUUGCUUUUGAAGCAUGCAGGGAUGAGAAAAGCCUACUGGAUUACUUGCAAUGUUGAGCCUGACAUACAACAUCUCUUUCUCAAUAGAAGAAGAUUCCCGGGCAGCAUAGAGGUGAGGCAUCGUGAUCUCAACAGACUGCUAGACAAUUUUCAAUCAUCACUCCAGGUGAUUACUGUCAUUGCAACUGCUGAUGCUGCAAGUGAAUUAGGUGGAAAAACUGUUGAACUUAGAAGUCAUAUAGACCCAACAAAAGCUGAGGAAGCAUUAGACUCUAGAUGUGCCAUUUGGUGUGAAGGAAUUGAAGGUACAGAUAGAGGCCCUAGGACAAAAUUAUUUUGAUGUUCCAUUAUAUUUGGCUUGUAAACUCAACCCAACAAAGCCUUGGCUGGAUUGAUGUGUCUUGUAUAAUUCUUCAUGGAGAAUAUAUCUACCUAAGCAUUGUUAUCUUGGUAAUUUUUGGUUCUAUUGUUUUCUCGUAUGCUUAUAUACUGUAAUUUAGCCAAUUAGUUGAUAUAUUUUCAUUUGAGAAUAUGUCAAUAUUUCUUAAAUUACAGGCAUUCCUAGCUUUCCACGAGGGCGGUGAAGUGGACAUUCAUUUAUAUUUUGAAAAGGCUGGCAAGCAAGAUGCUUCCUUUUCCCAUUUCUGUCCCAUUUUAUUGAUCUACUGUUUUAUUUGUCAUCUUCCAUUGUCUCCUCCUUGACAAGUUAAUCAUUUUGCAGAGUUUCUUGUUAUUCAUGAGUUUCCAGCCUGCAUACAGGCUGUCAUGAUAUAUAUUUAUGCAUAAGUAUAGACUCCAAAAGAAAUUGCUAUUGAAUCAGAAAUUCAGGGAGACCGAGCUUCAGCAAAUUCAUCUCCAUUAGAUUGGAUGCAUUUCAGCAGAACACCAG